UAAAGAGAGUUAGAUCCUGGCUCAGGACGAACGCAGGCGGCGAGCCUAAUACAUGCAAGUCGAACGAACGGAGGAAGAGCUAGCUCAUCCAAAGUUAGAGGCGGACGGGAGAGUAACACGAGGGCAACCUGCCUGUAAGUUGGGGAAAACUCCGGGAAACCGGGGCUAAAACCGAAUGAUAAAAUGUGGCGCAU
This 194-nucleotide ribosomal RNA is filed under the name Listeria monocytogenes. RNAcentral's name for it is "partial 16S ribosomal RNA". It matches the Rfam family "Bacterial small subunit ribosomal RNA", at positions 1 to 191 of the family's 1533-position model. Lineage: Bacteria; Bacillati; Bacillota; Bacilli; Caryophanales; Listeriaceae. The record is from RNAcentral.